RNAcentral lists this ribosomal RNA (657 nucleotides) under uncultured organism. RNAcentral describes it as "bacterial SSU rRNA". It matches the Rfam family "Bacterial small subunit ribosomal RNA", at positions 1 to 663 of the family's 1533-position model. The record is from RNAcentral.
GGCUUAGAGUUUGAUCAUGGCUCAGGAUGAACGCUGGCGGCGUGCCUAACACAUGCAAGUCGAACGGAGUUAUUCGAGGAAGUUUUCGGAUGGAAUUGAAUAACUUAGUGGCGGACGGGUGAGUAACGCGUGGGAAACCUGCCCUGUACCGGGGGAUAACACUUAGAAAUAGGUGCUAAUACCGCAUAAGCGCACAGCUUCGCAUGGAGCAGUGUGAAAAACUCCGGUGGUACAGGAUGGUCCCGCGUCUGAUUAGCCAGUUGGCGGGGUAACAGCCCACCAAAGCGACGAUCAGUAGCCGGCCUGAGAGGGUGGACGGCCACAUUGGGACUGAGACACGGCCCAAACUCCUACGGGAGGCAGCAGUGGGGGAUAUUGCACAAUGGGGGAAACCCUGAUGCAGCGACGCCGCGUGAGUGAAGAAGUAUUUCGGUAUGUAAAGCUCUAUCAGCAGGGAAGAAAAUGACGGUACCUGAGUAAGAAGCCCCGGCUAACUACGUGCCAGCAGCCGCGGUAAUACGUAGGGGGCAAGCGUUAUCCGGAUUUACUGGGUGUAAAGGGAGCGUAGACGGUGAAGCAAGUCUGGAGUGAAAACCCGGGGCUUAACCCCGGGAUUGCUUUGGAAACUGUUUAACUGGAGUGCAGGAGAGGUAAGCG